RNAcentral lists this ribosomal RNA (449 nucleotides) under uncultured bacterium. Its description in RNAcentral is "partial 16S ribosomal RNA". It matches the Rfam family "Bacterial small subunit ribosomal RNA", at positions 329 to 794 of the family's 1533-position model. The record is from RNAcentral.
CACCAGACUCCUACGGGAGGCAGCAGUGGGGGAUAUUGCACAAUGGGGGGAACCCUGAUGCAGCGACGCCGCGUGAGCGAUGAAGUAUUUCGGUAUGUAAAGCUCUAUCAGCAGGGAAGAAGGAAGACGGUACCUGACUAAGAAGCCCCGGCUAACUACGUGCCAGCAGCCGCGGUAAUACGUAGGGGGCAAGCGUUAUCCGGAUUUACUGGGUGUAAAGGGAGCGCAGGCGGCCUUGCAAGUCUGAUGUGAAAGGCCGGGGCCCAACCCCGGGACUGCAUUGGAAACUGCGAGGCUGGAGUGUCGGAGAGGCAGGCGGAAUUCCUAGUGUAGCGGUGAAAUGCGUAGAUAUUAGGAGGAACACCAGUGGCGAAGGCGGCCUGCUGGACGAUGACUGACGCUGAGGCUCGAAAGCGUGGGGAGCAAACAGGAUUAGAUACCCCCGUACC